UUGGGCCUACGGGGGGCAGCAGUGAGGAAUAUUGGUCAAUGGUCGGGAGACUGAACCAGCCAAGCCGUGUGAGGGAUGAAGGUACAGAGUAUCGUAAACCUCUUUUGUCAGGGAACAAAGGCGGGGACGUGUCCCCGGAUGAGUGUACCUGAAGAAAAAGCAUCGGCUAACUCCGUGCCAGCAGCCGCGGUAAUACGGAGGAUGCGAGCGUUAUCCGGAUUUAUUGGGUUUAAAGGGUGCGUAGGCGGGUUAUCAAGUCAGCGGUAAAAUCGUGGAGCUCAACUCCAUCCAGCCGUUGAAACUGA
RNAcentral lists this ribosomal RNA (305 nucleotides) under uncultured bacterium. RNAcentral describes it as "bacterial SSU rRNA". It matches the Rfam family "Bacterial small subunit ribosomal RNA", at positions 333 to 636 of the family's 1533-position model. The record is from RNAcentral.